GUCUAGGCCCGGUGAGAGACUCCACACCGCGGAGAACUGCCAUUCUUUCCUGGGCAUCCCGGGGAUCCCAGAGCCGGCCCAGGUACCAGCAGCAGCCUUUGUCGCUUCAAACACCGCAAGUGUUCUUUUAAAAGAAUUAUAUCAACCUUUCAAGUGAAAUGCAACAUGUCUGAAACGUGGUAUCUGGAGAGGAACAGUAAGAGGACCUUGUGAGUGAAUAAUUUGUUUCCACAUUACAGAGUGGGUAAUAAGCAGAUUAGUAAAAACAAUUCUGCUUCACUUCAA
RNAcentral lists this unclassified non-coding RNA (285 nucleotides) under Homo sapiens (human). Its description in RNAcentral is "double homeobox 4 (ENSG00000283949.3)". Lineage: Eukaryota; Metazoa; Chordata; Mammalia; Primates; Hominidae. The record is from RNAcentral.